Vidua chalybeata is the source of this 1165-nucleotide long non-coding RNA. RefSeq lists it as uncharacterized. The transcript is spliced from 3 exons. The record is from RefSeq and is a predicted model, not a curated record. Lineage: Eukaryota; Metazoa; Chordata; Aves; Passeriformes; Viduidae.
UGUCUCAGAAAUACAACCAGCUUGUUCACCCUUUUUGCAAACCUCUUUUCAGGCUUGGACAACCUGGCUGCGACAGUGGAACCCUCCUAAAAAACGGGUGCCAAGAGACAUUAACUGGUGUUGUGGGAACAGAAUUGGGAAUCAGUUCAGAGCUCCAGUUACCUUACAUGAACUUUUAGAAUCCAAUCUCACGUUGAUUCACAAGCUAUUGCCUACUCCCAUUGGGAUGAACCUUACUUUGGUAAAGCAACUAUUACUUCAUCAAGAUCUAAUAGAGAUCCUAGGAAAAAUCAAGGAGAAUGGACAGAAAACUCUGUCCUGAAGACUCCACGACGACACCAUGGAACCCUGCUGAUGAAGAUCUUUCGAGGGCAAUCGUCAGUCACGGGGUGGUGUAAGAGCCCGUCUGAAGCCCCUCAUUUUCCCAUUCUGCCUUCCGAUUGCCACGAGAAAGAAUCCCUUCCUCCACUGCAGUUCCGGCUUAGAACAGGACACAGUGCAGGUGCAACCACUGAACCGUCAUGCUAGCUGUUCCGAACAAGGCCUGGCAAGAACUCGGCAAGGACUUGGCAAAGACCUGACGUGGACCCAGCACGGGACAGCGUGAUGCGCGGCCUGCUUCUAAUCUCCGUUCUUAAGCCAAAUGAACUUUCGGGGUGACUCCCGGGGUCCUUCAUUGAAGACCCCUCAUCUGCCUCGUUACCAGUGUGACAAACAAAGAAUGAGAACCCUCCUCCCAAGGACUGAGACUGAGACCCCUGCUAUAGGGAGGAGGGGAAAUUGGUGGUCUGACCACUAAUGACAUGACCUGUUUCCCUUCAGUGAUUCAAAGGGACUUAUUCUUCAUUGUAUUCGUCUUGCUUUGGUGGUUUCUGUGGACUCAGCUGUUCCCGCGUGGCGAUUACAAUGGACUUUCGUUGUUACACUUGCUCCCCCCUCUUUCCUCUGUGGACUAUAACUGGAGCCCCGAGUCGACCAGAACUUCGGAGACUCCCCCGACACGACAGACGGAUCCCCAUCGUCCGGACCACUGAGGAUCUCGCCUGUGUUGGUAGCUAUUCCCAUACCCCUCUUCUCUCUCUCUCUCUCCUUUUAUCUCCUUUCCGAUCCCCACUAUCGCAUUUACUGUUUUGGCCCCUAAUAAAGGUGCAUUUGUUGUGAUUAA